RNAcentral lists this ribosomal RNA (253 nucleotides) under uncultured bacterium. RNAcentral's name for it is "partial 16S ribosomal RNA". It matches the Rfam family "Bacterial small subunit ribosomal RNA", at positions 524 to 776 of the family's 1533-position model. The record is from RNAcentral.
UACGGAGGGAGCUAGCGUUGUUCGGAAUUACUGGGCGUAAAGCGUACGUAGGCGGCUUUGUAAGUUAGAGGUGAAAGCCUGGGGCUCAACCCCAGAAUUGCCUUUAAGACUGCAUCGCUUGAAUCCAGGAGAGGUGAGUGGAAUUCCGAGUGUAGAGGUGAAAUUCGUAGAGAUUCGGAAGAACACCAGUGGCGAAGGCGGCUCACUGGACUGGUAUUGACGCUGAGGUGCGAAAGCGUGGGGAGCAAACAGG